GACGAACGCUGGCGGCGUGCUUAACACAUGCAAGUCGAACGGAAAGGCCCUGCUUUUGUGGGGUGCUCGAGUGGCGAACGGGUGAGUAACACGUGAGUAACCUGCCCUUGACUUUGGGAUAACUUCAGGAAACUGGGGCUAAUACCGGAUAGGAGCUCCUGCUGCAUGGGGGGGGUUGGAAAGUUUCGGCGGUUGGGGAUGGACUCGCGGCUUAUCAGCUUGUUGGUGGGGUAGUGGCUUACCAAGGCUUUGACGGGUAGCCGGCCUGAGAGGGUGACCGGCCACAUUGGGACUGAGAUACGGCCCAGACUCCUACGGGCGGCAGCAGUGGGGAAUAUUGCACAAUGGGCGGAAGCCUGAUGCAGCAACGCCGCGUGCGGGAUGACGGCCUUCGGGUUGUAAACCGCUUUCGCCUGUGACGAAGCGUGAGUGACGGUAAUGGGUAAAGAAGCACCGGCUAACUACGUG
This 468-nucleotide ribosomal RNA is filed under the name uncultured bacterium. RNAcentral describes it as "partial 16S ribosomal RNA". It matches the Rfam family "Bacterial small subunit ribosomal RNA", at positions 28 to 507 of the family's 1533-position model. The record is from RNAcentral.